Molecule: non-coding RNA, 165 nt
Organism: Pelobates cultripes (western spadefoot toad)
Lineage: Eukaryota; Metazoa; Chordata; Amphibia; Anura; Pelobatidae
Source: the annotation of a GenBank genome assembly
AUCUAUCUGAUCACUAGGGAAUUCCCUAAAUUCCUCCAGAAAAAACUUUGUGGCCUGACAUCCGAGGAUGUCAGGCCACAAAGUUUUUUUCUGGAGGAAUUUAGGGAAUUCCCUAGUGAUCAGAUCCGAGGAUGUCAGCCCAUGUUUUUUAUUUUAUUGUAUUUU